Molecule: ribosomal RNA, 479 nt
Filed under: uncultured bacterium
Lineage: Bacteria
Description: partial 16S ribosomal RNA
Rfam family: Bacterial small subunit ribosomal RNA
Source: RNAcentral
GAUGAACGCUAGCGGGAGGCCUAACACAUGCAAGCCGAGCGGUAUUUGUUCUUCGGAACAGAGAGAGCGGCGCACGGGUGCGGAACACGUGUGCAACCUGCCUUUAUCUGGGGGACAGCCUUUCGAAAGGAAGAUUAAUACCCCAUAAUAUAUUGAGUGGCAUCAUUUGAUAUUGAAAACUCCGGUGGAUAGAGAUGGGCACGCGCAAGAUUAGAUAGUUGGUGAGGUAACGGCUCACCAAGUCAAUGAUCUUUAGGGGGCCUGAGAGGGUGAUCCCCCACACUGGUACUGAGACACGGACCAGACUCCUACGGGAGGCAGCAGUGAGGAAUAUUGGACAAUGGGUUAGCGCCUGAUCCAGCCAUCCCGCGUGAAGGACGACGGCCCUAUGGGUUGUAAACUUCUUUUGUAUAGGGAUAAACCUACUCUCGUGAGAGUAGCUGAAGGUACUAUACGAAUAAGCACCGGCUAACUCCGUG